GACGAACGCUGGCGGCGUGCUUAACACAUGCAAGUCGAGCGGUAAGGCCCCUUCGGGGUUACACGAGCGGCAAACGGUUGAGUAACACGUUAUCAAUCUGCCCAUCACAUCGUUAUAACUCCGGUAAACCGAAUCUAAUACCUAAUACGACCACCUCCGUCCUCGGAUGUUGGUUGAAAGUUCCGGCGGUGAUUGAUGAGCUCGCGUCCUAUCAGCUUGUUGGUGUGGUAACGGCCCACCAAGGCUUCGACGGGUAGCCGGCCUGAGAGGGUGACCGGCCACAAUGGGACUGAGACACGGCACAGAAUCAUACGGGAGGCAGCAGUGGGGAAUAUUGGACAAUGGGCGAAAGCCUGAUCCAGCAACGCCGCGUGAGGGAUGACGGCCUUCGGGUUGUAAACAUCUUUCAGCAGGGACGAAGAGAAAGUGACGGUACCUGAAGAAGAAGCACCGGCCAACUACGUG
This 465-nucleotide ribosomal RNA is filed under the name uncultured bacterium. Its description in RNAcentral is "partial 16S ribosomal RNA". It matches the Rfam family "Bacterial small subunit ribosomal RNA", at positions 28 to 507 of the family's 1533-position model. The record is from RNAcentral.